GGUUAAGUGGGAAACGAUGUGGGAAGGCCCAGACAGCCAGGAUGUUGGCUUAGAAGCAGCCAUCAUUUAAAGAAAGCGUAAUAGCUCACUGGUCGAGUCGGCCUGCGCGGAAGAUGUAACGGGGCUAAACCAUGCACCGAAGCUGCGGCAGCGACGCUUAUGCGUUGUUGGGUAGGGGAGCGUUCUGUAAGCCUGCGAAGGUGUGCUGUGAGGCAUGCUGGAGGUAUCAGAAGUGCGAAUGCUGACAUAAGUAACGAUAAAGCGGGUGAAAAGCCCGCUCGCCGGAAGACCAAGGGUUCCUGUCCAACGUUAAUCGGGGCAGGGUGAGUCGACCCCUAAGGCGAGGCCGAAAGGCGUAGUCGAUGGGAAACAGGUUAAUAUUCCUGUACUUGGUGUUACUGCGAAGGGGGGACGGAGAAGGCUAUGUUGGCCGGGCGACGGUUGUCCCGGUUUAAGCGUGUAGGCUGGUUUUCCAGGCAAAUCCGGAAAAUCAAGGCUGAGGCGUGAUGACGAGGCACUACGGUGCUGAAGCAACAAAUGCCCUGCUUCCAGGAAAAGCCUCUAAGCAUCAGGUAACAUCAAAUCGUACCCCAAACCGACACAGGUGGUCAGGUAGAGAAUACCAAGGCGCUUGAGAGAACUCGGGUGAAGGAACUAGGCAAAAUGGUGCCGUAACUUCGGGAGAAGGCACGCUGAUAUGUAGGUGAAGUCCCUCGCGGAUGGAGCUGAAAUCAGUCGAAGAUACCAGCUGGCUGCAACUGUUUAUUAAAAACACAGCACUGUGCAAACACGAAAGUGGACGUAUACGGUGUGACGCCUGCCCGGUGC
RNAcentral lists this ribosomal RNA (828 nucleotides) under Escherichia coli. RNAcentral describes it as "partial 23S ribosomal RNA". It matches the Rfam family "Bacterial large subunit ribosomal RNA", at positions 1057 to 1869 of the family's 2925-position model. The record is from RNAcentral. Lineage: Bacteria; Pseudomonadati; Pseudomonadota; Gammaproteobacteria; Enterobacterales; Enterobacteriaceae.